AAUCAACGCUGGCGGCGUGCCUCAGACAUGCAAGUCGAACGCGAAAUUUCCCUUCGGGGAGAAAGUAGAGUGGCGCACGGGUGAGUAACACGUAGGUAAUUUGCCUUUGGGUGGGGAACGAACUCAGGGAAACUUGAGCUAAUACCGCAUAAUGCAGCGGCUCGACAUCGAGACAGUUGUUAAAGCGGGGGAGUUGGAGCAAUCCGACCUCGCGCCU
RNAcentral lists this ribosomal RNA (217 nucleotides) under uncultured bacterium. Its description in RNAcentral is "partial 16S ribosomal RNA". It matches the Rfam family "Bacterial small subunit ribosomal RNA", at positions 32 to 224 of the family's 1533-position model. The record is from RNAcentral.